GCUUCAUUCGCACCGUGCGAACCGCAGACGAGGGUGGGGGACCCACUCGUGGCACUUGUUGAGUGCCUUGGGGUGAAGCCGGUCCCGAACCGGCCGAGCACCUGACCGCUCGAACCCGACAGCUCACCUCACCGGCGUCGUCAGGAAAGGAAAC
RNAcentral lists this small RNA (154 nucleotides) under Dermacoccus nishinomiyaensis. RNAcentral describes it as "c-di-AMP sequence". It matches the Rfam family "c-di-AMP riboswitch aptamer (ydaO/yuaA leader)". From Rfam's summary of the family: This family represents a conserved RNA structure found upstream of the ydaO and yuaA genes in Bacillus subtilis and related genes in other bacteria. The ydaO/yuaA element is thought to act as a genetic "off" switch for the ydaO and yuaA genes in its native state. It is believed that the element may be triggered during osmotic shock leading to activation of ydaO, a predicted amino acid transporter gene, and members of the yuaA-yubG operon which code for KtrA and KtrB K+ transporters. Lineage: Bacteria; Bacillati; Actinomycetota; Actinomycetes; Micrococcales; Dermacoccaceae. The record is from RNAcentral.